UACGGGGGGGGCAAGCGUUGUUCGGAAUUACUGGGCGUAAAGGGCGCGUAGGCGGCCUGCUAAGUCGGACGUGAAAUCCCUCGGCUCAACCGGGGAACUGCGUCCGAUACUGGUGGGCUUGAAUCCGGGAGAGGGAUGUGGAAUUCCAGGUGUAGCGGUGAAAUGCGUAGAUAUCUGGAGGAACACCGGUGGCGAAGGCGGCAUCCUGGACCGGUAUUGACGCUGAUGCGCGAAAGCCAGGGGAGCAAACGGG
RNAcentral lists this ribosomal RNA (253 nucleotides) under uncultured bacterium. RNAcentral describes it as "partial 16S ribosomal RNA". It matches the Rfam family "Bacterial small subunit ribosomal RNA", at positions 524 to 776 of the family's 1533-position model. The record is from RNAcentral.